RNAcentral lists this ribosomal RNA (472 nucleotides) under uncultured bacterium. RNAcentral's name for it is "bacterial SSU rRNA". It matches the Rfam family "Bacterial small subunit ribosomal RNA", at positions 28 to 501 of the family's 1533-position model. The record is from RNAcentral.
GAUGAACGCUGGCGGCGUGCUUAACACAUGCAAGUCGAACGGGAAUUACUUUAUUGAAACUUCGGUCGAUUUAAAUUAAUUCUAGUGGCGGACGGGUGAGUAACGCGUGGGUAACCUGCCUUGUACAGGGGGAUAACAGUCAGAAAUGACUGCUAAUACCGCAUAAGCGCACAGGACCGCAUGGUCCAGUGUGAAAAACUCCGGUGGUAUAAGAUGGACCCGCGUUGGAUUAGCUUGUUGGCAGGGUAACGGCCUACCAAGGCAACGAUCCAUAGCCGGCCUGAGAGGGUGAACGGCCACAUUGGGACUGAGACACGGCCCAGACUCCUACGGGAGGCAGCAGUGGGGAAUAUUGCACAAUGGGGGAAACCCUGAUGCAGCGACGCCGCGUGAAGGAAGAAGUAUCUCGGUAUGUAAACUUCUAUCAGCAGGGAAGAAAAUGACGGUACCUGACUAAGAAGCCCCGGCUAAC